GAUGAACGCUGGCGGCGUGCCUAAUACAUGCAAGUCGAGCGAACAGACGAGGAGCUUGCUCCUCUGACGUUAGCGGCGGACGGGUGAGUAACAUGUGGAUAACCUACCUAUAAGACUGGGAUAACUUCGGGAAACCGGAGCUAAUACCGGAUAAUAUAUUGAACCGCAUGGUUCAAUAGUGAAAGACGGUUUUGCUGUCACUUAUAGAUGGAUCCGCGCCGCAUUAGCUAGUUGGUAAGGGAACGGCUUACCAAGGCAACGAUGCGUAGCCGACCUGAGAGGGUGAUCGGCCACACUGGAACUGAGACACGGUCCAGACUCCUACGGGAGGCAGCAGUAGGGAAUCUUCCGCAAUGGGCGAAAGCCUGACGGAGCAACGCCGCGUGAGUGAUGAAGGUCUUCGGAUCGUAAAACUCUGUUAUUAGGGAAGAACAAAUGUGUAAGUAACUAUGCACGUCUUGACGGUACCUAAUCAGAAAGCCACGGCUAACUACGUG
This 497-nucleotide ribosomal RNA is filed under the name uncultured bacterium. RNAcentral's name for it is "partial 16S ribosomal RNA". It matches the Rfam family "Bacterial small subunit ribosomal RNA", at positions 28 to 507 of the family's 1533-position model. The record is from RNAcentral.